Molecule: long non-coding RNA, 1387 nt
Organism: Pistacia vera
Lineage: Eukaryota; Viridiplantae; Streptophyta; Magnoliopsida; Sapindales; Anacardiaceae
Exons: 2
Source: RefSeq, a predicted model, not a curated record
UCCCAAAUCAGCACGUAAUUCCCACUAAGAAAAAUCCCGAGCGCAAACCCUCCACCGCCUCCAAUCAGAAAAUACUACUACCACCGCCGACAAUCGUCUCCCACCAUCACUUAGUGGUCAAUUUUGUGUUGAAGAAAAUAAACUCCUCUCUCAUUGUUUGCGUGGUCCUUGUUUGCGCCAAAUUGAAGAACAGAGAACCUAUACUAAAGGCAGUGCAUCAUCUUCGCUGAUGAAGUUGUCUCAGAUGAUGAAGUUCAACAUUGCUUCUGUAUAUGAGCAAAGAUACCAACUUUGAAUUUUCAAGCAUCAAACGUUUUCCAUAAACGCACAGCUUUUGUGUAGGAGAAUUGGAGGUGCAGCAGCAGGUUUAUGCUUGGUUCUGUUUAUUUUUGGGUGGUGCAAUUAUGCUGGCUGUGCAGAAGGUUGUAUAGGGUCAUUGUCUGCUGGCUGUGCAUAUUUAGCAAAAGUGCAGAAAUAGUACCCUGUGGGAAGUGGUUCGUAAGGAGCAGUAGCGUGACUGCAGCAUUUUUUGCAGUUCGUGAGUUAAGUUUGCAGAUUUUACAAAUCAACAAAUUCAAAUGACUGCAGUUUAUGUGUUUCUGGGAGGGUGUGCCCAUGGCGAAUCUAUUCAAUUAAGGAAGAAAUUGUAUAUGUUGCAAUUCUUGUAGGUUCCGGGAAUGUGUGGUGAGCAGGAAAAGGUGUCGUCGGGGUAGCAACCUGUUGAUUGCAUUUUAUACAUUUUCAAGUAGAUGGGUUAUGCUGAGUUUAUCGGACUGGAUAUGUAGUCUGCGCAGGCUAUCUUCUGUGUUGUUUGUAAAGUGUUGUGCGCAGUUUUGUGUCCAAAGUUGCAGAUUCUAAGCUUUAAUUGUUGCAGUCCUUGGUUGAACUCUAGUAGGCCGUGUAGUAUGUUGUUUGAUGGAGGUAUGGCAGGCCAUGUAGUAUCCAAUUCAGGAGUUGUUGAAUUUAUCAUGUAUGAUCUCUCAUGCUUUGUUAUUCUGAUUUGGUAUGCAUGUGUGCAGCUUGUUCUCCUUGUGGGCACAAAGCUACAGAAUAUGAUUGCGACCUUGGCAAUUGUCUGUCUAUUUCUUAUUGCAGUCAUUGCUCUGUGAUCCCAAUCUCAAUUAGCCUGCAAAUUCUAAAGCUGCUCGGAUGUUUGCUCAAUGACUGCAGAGCUGGAUAGCAGACUACCUCUUCCUUGGGUAGGGUGAUUCGAGCCUGAAGGUUUUAGGGCAUGUUCUAUCGACAUUGCCAUUUCAUUAUCCAAUUUCAGGAGUUGUUGAAUUUAUCAUGUAUUUCUCAUGUCAACCUUUCACAUAUGAAUUGGAGAGCUAUUUGAUAAUUUUGAUCCAUAUUAUAGUAUGACCUUUUAGUGUGUUUGUUUGUUCAA